RNAcentral lists this long non-coding RNA (782 nucleotides) under Homo sapiens (human). RNAcentral's name for it is "HSALNT0103652". The record is from RNAcentral. Lineage: Eukaryota; Metazoa; Chordata; Mammalia; Primates; Hominidae.
GCAGCGGGAUGGGGAGGACCAGACCCAGGACACGGAGCUCGUGGAGACCAGGCCUGCAGGGGAUGGAACCUUCCAGAAGUGGGCGGCUGUGGUGGUGCCUUCUGGAGAGGAGCAGAGAUACACCUGCCAUGUGCAGCAUGAGGGUCUGCCCAAGCCCCUCACCCUGAGAUGGGCUGUCUUCCCAGCCCACCAUCCCCAUCGUGGGCAUCAUUGCUGGCCUGGUUCUCCUUGGAGCUGUGAUCACUGGAGCUGUGGUCGCUGCCGUGAUGUGGAGGAGGAAGAGCUCAGAUAGAAAAGGAGGGAGUUACACUCAGGCUGCAAGCAGUGACAGUGCCCAGGGCUCUGAUGUGUCCCUCACAGCUUGUAAAGACAGCUGCCUUGUGUGGGACUGAGAGGCAAGAGUUGUUCCUGCCCUUCCCUUUGUGACUUGAAGAACCCUGACUUUGUUUCUGCAAAGGCACCUGCAUGUGUCUGUGUUCGUGUAGGCAUAAUGUGAGGAGGUGGGGAGACCACCCCACCCCCAUGUCCACCAUGACCCUCUUCCCACGCUGACCUGUGCUCCCUCCCCAAUCAUCUUUCCUGUUCCAGAGAGGUGGGGCUGAGGUGUCUCCAUCUCUGUCUCAACUUCAUGGUGCACUGAGCUGUAACUUCUUCCUUCCCUAUUAAAAUUAGAACCUUAGUAUAAAUUUACUUUCUCAAAUUCUUGCCAUGAGAGGUUGAUGAGUUAAUUAAAGGAGAAGAUUCCUAAAAUUUGAGAGACAAAAUAAAUGGAAGACAUGAGA